AACGCACAUUGCGCCCCUUGGUAUUCCGAGGGGCAUGCCUGUUCGAGCGUCAUAUCACCAAUCAAGCCUGGCUUGGUAUUGGGGUCCGCUUUGCGGCGGCCUCUAAACUCAGUGGCGGUGCCGUUAGGCUCUCAGCGUAGUAAUUAUUCUCGCUACAGGGUCUUGCGGUUACUUGCCAUAACCCCAACUUCUUAAGGUUGACCUCGGAUCAGGUAGGGAUACCCGCUGAACUUAA
Molecule: unclassified non-coding RNA, 235 nt
Filed under: uncultured fungus
Lineage: Eukaryota; Fungi
Description: partial contains 5.8S ribosomal RNA, internal transcribed spacer 2, and large subunit ribosomal RNA
Rfam family: 5.8S ribosomal RNA (bases 1-52)
Source: RNAcentral